This 273-nucleotide ribosomal RNA is filed under the name uncultured bacterium. RNAcentral's name for it is "partial 16S ribosomal RNA". It matches the Rfam family "Bacterial small subunit ribosomal RNA", at positions 524 to 796 of the family's 1533-position model. The record is from RNAcentral.
UACGUAGGGGGCGAGCGUUGUCCGGAUUCAUUGGGCGUAAAGCGCGCGCAGGCGGCCGGCAGAGCCCGGCGUGAAAGCUCCCAGCUUAACUGGGAGAGGUCGUCGGGGACCUGCUGGCUGGAGGCCGGUAGGGGUGAGCGGAAUUCCCGGUGUAGUGGUGGAAUGCGUAGAGAUCGGGAGGAACACCGGUGGCGAAGGCGGCUCACUGGGCCGGUCCUGACGCUCAGGCGCGAAAGCGUGGGGAGCGAUCCGGAUUAGAAACCCCAGUAGUCC